This 497-nucleotide ribosomal RNA is filed under the name uncultured bacterium. RNAcentral describes it as "partial 16S ribosomal RNA". It matches the Rfam family "Bacterial small subunit ribosomal RNA", at positions 28 to 507 of the family's 1533-position model. The record is from RNAcentral.
GAUGAACGCUGGCGGCGUGCCUAAUACAUGCAAGUCGAGCGAACGGACGAUAAGCUUGCUUCUCUGAUGUUAGCGGCGGACGGGUGAGUAACACGUGGAUAACCUACCUAUAAGACUGGGAUAACUUCGGGAAACCGGAGCUAAUACCGGAUGAUAUUUUGAACCGCAUGGUUCAAAAGUGAAAUACGGUCUUGCUGUCACUUAUCGAUGGAUCCGCGCUGCAUUAGCUAGUUGGUAAGGUAAUGGCUUACCAAGGCAACGAUGCAUAGCCGACCUGAGAGGGUGAUCGGCCACACUGGAACUUAGACACGGUCCAGACUCCUACGGGAGGCAGCAGUAGGGAAUCUUCCGCAAUGGGCGAAAGCCUGACGGAGCAACGCCGCGUGAGUGAUGGAGGUCUUCGGAUCGUAAAACUCUGUUAUUAGGGAAGAACAUAUGUGUAAGUAACUGUGCACAUCUUGACGGUACCUAAUCAGAAAGCCACGGCUAACUACGUG